GAUGAAGAACGCAGCAAAGUGCGAUAUGUACUGCGCUGUGCGCGAAAUGCGCAGUCAUUCUUCGAAUACACAUUGUCCUGUCUGGCGAAUAGCCGGCAGGGCAUCUGCUUCAGGGUUGUUGAUUAUUUUUGCGCAGCUUCGCUCAGCGUCGCAGGCGUUUACCGAGGUGUCGCCGCCACGUGCGUCUCCUCCCAUCUUGUGUCCCGUUAGCUCAUGCUUCUGUGGAUUUGGGUGUCUAGCAGUCUGGUUCAUUGCUUGCAGUGUUCCGCUUGUGCUUACCCCAAUUAUUUAUCUACCCGACCUGAAGUCAGGUGUGAGUACCCGCUGAACUUAAGCAUAUCAAUAAGCGGAGGA
RNAcentral lists this unclassified non-coding RNA (354 nucleotides) under soil metagenome. RNAcentral describes it as "partial contains 5.8S ribosomal RNA, internal transcribed spacer 2, and large subunit ribosomal RNA". The stretch from base 1 to 118 matches the Rfam family "5.8S ribosomal RNA", at positions 35 to 154 of the family's 154-position model. The record is from RNAcentral.